UAGGGAAUCUUCGGCAAUGGACGGAAGUCUGACCGAGCAACGCCGCGUGAGUGAAGAGGGUUUUCGGAUCGUAAAGCUCUGUUGUAAGAGAAGAACGAGUGUGAGAGUGGAAAGUUCACACUGUGACGGUAUCUUACCAGAAAGGGACGGCUAACUACGUGCCAGCAGCCGCGGUAAUACGUAGGUCCCGAGCGUUGUCCGGAUUUAUUGGGCGUAAAGCGAGCGCAGGCGGUUAGAUAAGUCUGAAGUUAAAGGCUGUGGCUUAACCAUAGUAGGCUUUGGAAACUGUUUAACUUGAGUGCAAGAGGGGAGAGUGGAAUUCCAUGUGUAGCGGUGAAAUGCGUAGAUAUAUGGAGGAACACCGGUGGCGAAAGCGGCUCUCUGGCUUGUAACUGACGCUGAGGCUCGAAAGCGUGGGGAGCAAACAGGAUUAGAUACCCUGGUAGUCCACGCUGUAAACGAUGAGUGCUAGGUGUUAGACCCUUUCCGGGGUUUAGUGCCGUAGCUAACGCAUUAAGCACUCCGCCUGGGGAGUACGACCGCAAGGUUG
RNAcentral lists this ribosomal RNA (550 nucleotides) under uncultured bacterium. RNAcentral's name for it is "bacterial SSU rRNA". It matches the Rfam family "Bacterial small subunit ribosomal RNA", at positions 355 to 896 of the family's 1533-position model. The record is from RNAcentral.